GACGAACGCUGGCGGCGUGCUUAACACAUGCAAGUCUGGGGGCGGGGCGACCCGUCCCCGGCGACCGGGUGCGGAACACGUGAGCGACCUGCCCUGUGUGUGGGGGAUAGCCGGCCCAACGGCCGGGUAAUACCGCAUACGUCCCGCGCUUGGAGGCGCUGGGAGAAAGCCCGGAAGGGCGCACGAGGAGGGUCUCGCGGCCUAUCAGCUAGUUGGGGGGGUAACGGCCCAACAAGGCGACGACGGGUAGCUGGUCUGAGAGGAUGUCCAGCCACAUUGGGACGGAGAGACGGCCCAGACUCGGACGGGAGGCAGCAGUGGGGAAUCUGGCGCAAUGGGCGAAAGCGUGACGCAGCGACGCCGCGGGGAGGAUGAGGCCCUUCGGGGUGUAAACUCCUGUGGCUCGGGACGAACGGCGGGCAUCGGCCCGCUUGACGGUACCGGGUGAGGAAGCACCGGCUAACUCUGUG
This 470-nucleotide ribosomal RNA is filed under the name uncultured bacterium. RNAcentral's name for it is "partial 16S ribosomal RNA". It matches the Rfam family "Bacterial small subunit ribosomal RNA", at positions 28 to 507 of the family's 1533-position model. The record is from RNAcentral.